Molecule: non-coding RNA, 6484 nt
Organism: Xyrichtys novacula (pearly razorfish)
Lineage: Eukaryota; Metazoa; Chordata; Actinopteri; Labriformes; Labridae
Source: the annotation of a GenBank genome assembly
GGGCUUCCUGUUACUUUGAUUUUGCAUUUAAAAAAGAGUUUUGUCUUUGUGGUUUUGGUGGCCUGAGUGACAAGUUGCACUAACAUACUACCAUUUGAAGGCAGGAUAUCUAUAGGCAUGUUACACCUUGUGCUUAACUGUAACUAGACAUGCAAAUUUAGAUGACUUUAAGUGAAAUGUUCAUGAACUGAUGUCGAUUCAAAUUUUGGUUUUUGUAAGUGAAAAAAAACAAAAAACACAUACUUUACUUAAAUCACAGAUCUUCCAUAAAAACAUACUGAGUACAAUGAAUGCUAUUGAAAAGAUACAGAACAUGUCGCGACAUAAAAAUAGUUGAAACACCAGAUGUUAUCAUAAGAAGCAGACUCAUGAAGAUAUUCUAUCUGUACUCAUGUCAGAUGCUUAAAUGACAAAAUGUGGAAAUGCUGCAAAGAAAGAUCAGAUAAAUAUUUCAGCCUCAGCGCCAGCUUUUCUACAUACUUGUUCUUCUUGAUAAUAUGAGCAUAUCCACAAGGCAGAAAACACAUGUCGAGGAGGGAAAUCUCUCUGCAUCGACUUUUCACAAAUCUGUUGGUUUUGUUCUCAAAAACGAGUUGUAAAAAGUUCUGAAUUCCUUUGUCCCUUGUGUUAGCUGCUGUGUAUUGUUUCCCAAAACAAACUCCUGGAGACUGGGUGCAUGACUGCAUGGCUUUAACUCACAAUGGAAAAUGGCUGCCAGUAUAAAUCACAACAACUAAUUGAUAUUUACAUAUCUGCUGAUAUGCAUUGUAAAUGUUAGAGUGGACCACUGAAUUCGUGUGGACAGUAUGUGAGGCUCAUACUGUGUUGUUGUGCUGUUCCUCUUGUACUCGCUGUAAUGUAAUAUGACGUCACACACAGGGACACUAAUAUUGUGUUGUUUUGAGGUACAGCAAGUAAGUACAAAGGCGUGGAGAUAGCAGGACCUGGUUUUGGUGCCAUUUUGGAGUUGCAGUAUAGCUUACUGUAGCUUAAGCUAACCAGAAUCCUUCAUCCUCUGGUAUUUGAGUUCAAACAAUGGGAAACUGGUCAGAUGGUGAUGUCGAAGUCUGCCUGAUGCUUGAAUUAGUAGCUUUCCAUUUUGAAUAGGGGGCUGGGAUCUGAGUUUCCCUAACUUAAGGAAACUAAAACUAAAAAACGAUUCCUUUUUUUUUAAAAGCUGCGGUCAAAAUCAUUUAUGAAUUCUGUUGAGAGACUCAAAAGUUGUCAGCUUCAAACAUUUGGAUGUCAGUCUGACAGCUGGUCCUGUUUAAAACUCCCAUAAACAUUUGUCUUACAGGCACAUAGGAGUGUUGUUGUGAUGUUGACACAGUAAGAUACACUUAAAGUUUGAUCUCAACAGCUGAGGAAACUCUUGAGUUGAGUGCAGACCUGACCCGAAUAACAUUUAGAGUCCAUCAGACAGCACGACUGCACCAUGAAGGCACAUGGUUCAGAUUUGACUAAAGAUCAUCUACUUUAAAUGGCAACAAGAGAUUCCUAUUUGCUCUGUCAUAAAUUUUGAAUAUCAUUUUAUACUCCUCGUCUCUGCUCGACUCCCAGCAUCCGCAGUAAGGACUUUUUUUGUUGAUGGCAGUCAGGACAGCCUCUAAUGUUCACACAGCCUACUUUCUUCUGGUCCUCUCUCCCUCUGCUUUCUGGUGGAGAAACAGGAGAUAUCCAUUUAAGUCAGUAAGCACCAUCUGUUUCAGGUGAGGGUGUGUUCGCUCCCUCAGACAGCCUGCAAGCUUUCAUCCAGCCUAUGAGACAUGAAAGCAAAGGCAGGGAGCUUCAAAUUCAGCCUGAAUUUGCUUUUGGCCGUCCAGAGCCUGUGUAUACUCUUCAGCUCUGUUGCCAAAACAAUCACAUGCGCUGACACAGGCGAUCACUAUCCUGCUGGUUCCACCUUGAGGAAGGAGUAACACCUGAAAAAUGCUCUCACACUCAGCCUUAUGGUGAUGUUAUGAUUCAGACACCUUUAAGGCAUGUCAGGGAGUGAUUGCUAGUAAUGCCCCUUGGUGACUAAUCUGCAGUUUUAACAGCAGCUGUAAUUCAAUGUCACAGACCAACAGGACAGCAAUACGAGCAGCAGCAGCUGACCUUGACCUCAGCGUUUGACUCGCCAUCAAUCGCCCUGCAGGUGUGUCCUGAAAACACCAAGCGCCCCUGUUACAGAGAGGAAGCUCUCAUGAAUAGCGGCCAGUGGCAACAGGAAAGCUGAGCGCUCCUUGAGUCCCUGAUGGAGACAAGUAUGUUCGAGCAAGGAAGUGAGCAAACAUCCUCUGACAAACAAGACAAAUCAGGCUUCUUUUUGUGUGACAGACAAAAUCAGAGCAGCAGGAGAACUUUUGAGACUAAAAUAUAAAAUAAAACUAAAAACUAAAACUAAAAUAACUGCCUGUAGUGAAGAGAGGUGAAGAGAAGAGCCCUAACAGGUUGUUUUACAGUAAGACAGUAGGACAGCUACUGUAGUUUUGCUCAACGUUUGUUUGCUUAGAAAGUAUAAAUAUUUCAGCAGAAUCCACUGAAGAUAAGAGGUGAGACAGGAAGAUAUUAAAUUCAUGGAUCGCAUGUUCAGGAAAAUUCAGAAUAACAGGAGAGACAGGAGCAGAGAAAUCAAAUGAUUGACAUCAGCUCAUAUCAGCUGACAGCUAAUUCGCCUUCAAAGCAUCCAAGUGGCAAAUGUCAUGACAGGCAUUUUCUCUAAACUGUUGCUCUCCCUGCCUCCACCCUAGCUUUACCAUCAGUGGCCCGAUGCCUGCUUUGUUCUAUACCCUGCAGGUCUUUGCUGCUGCUCAGGCUUUGACAUUCCCCGUAUGCAGGUGGACAGGCAAGGAGCUCUCAGAACAGAGCCAAACCACUAGUGGUAACAUGUUGUAUGGACAUAAUUAUUCUCUUUGACUUAAGUGUGACAUUACUGCAAUAUGAGCUGUCACUGUACCAGAUUUGAACCUCAUGAAAACUGGAAGGAAACAACACCAUGUCCACUUUUCUCUAUUAAUUGAUUCAAACAGAUUUCUCUGUCCUGCCCCUCUGAUUCUCUCAUCGUAACAAGCAACCUGGAGCAAAUUAAAAAAACGUCAAAUCUAACGUUAUGCUCGGCUUCAAAAAUACUGUAAUAAAACUGGGUGGUAUUCAAGAAACUAGCUGAAUAUUGGGAUAUAAGACAUAGGAAUUUAUAUACCAGCUAAAUAAGUGUAUUUUGAGCAGCUUAGUUUUCAUAAUGCAAUUGUGUAUUUUUUCAUUUGGAUCGUUCAGUUAACUGGAUAUACAGUGGAUAUAAAAAGUCUACACAACUCUGUUCAACUGGCAGGUUUUAGUGAUGUAAGAAAAUGACAGCGAGUUGAAUAUUUUCACAACUUUUUCCACCUCUAAUGUGACCUAUAAUCUGUACAAUGCAAUUGAAAAACAAACUGAAACCUUUAAGGGGAAAAAUUUAAAAAUAGAAAUGUUAAAAUAACCUGGUUGCAUAAAUAUGCACACCCUUAAACUAAUACUUUGUUGCAGCACCUUUGGCUUUUAUUACAGCACUCAGUCUUUUUGGGUAGGAGUCUAUCAGCUUCGCACAUCUUGAUGCGGCAAUAUUUGCAAAACCGCUCAAAAUCUGACAGAUUGCGAGGGCACUCCUAUGCACAGCCCUCUUCAGAUCACCCCACAAAUGUUCGAUGGGAUUCAGGUCUGGGCCGUUCUAAACGCUCAAUCUUAUUCCAGUGACACCAUUCUUUUGUUGAUUUAGAUGUGUGCUUUUGGUCAUUGUUGUGCUGAAAGAUGAAGUUCCUCUUCAUCUUCAUCUUUCUAGCAGAAGGUCGAAGGUUUUGUGCCAGCACUGACUGGUAUUUGGACCUGUUCAUAAUUCCCUCCACCCUAACUAAGGCACCAGUUCCAACUGAAGAAAAACAGCCCCGAAGCAUGAUGCUGCCACCACCAUGCUUCACUGUAGAUAUAGUGUUCUUUUGGUGAUGAGCAGUGUUGAUUUUGCGCCAAAUAUACCUUUUGCAAUGAUGCCCAAAAAGACCAUAACACAUUUUCCCACGUGUUUGGGAGAUUUCAGAUGUCUUGCAAAAUUAAGCCGGGCUUUGAUGUUUUUCUUUGUAAGAUAAGGCUUCCGUCUUUGCCACCCUACCCCAUAGCCCAGACAUAUGAAGACAGUGGGAGAUUGUUGUCACAUGUUCUACACAGCCAGUACUUGCCAGAAAUUCCUGCAGCUCCUUCAGUGUUGCUGUCGGCCUUUUAGUAGCCUCCCUAACCAGUUUUCUUCUUGUCUUAUCAUCAAUUUUGGACAGACGUCCUGUUCUUUGUAAUGUCAUCAUUGUGCCAUAUUUUCUCCACUUGAUGAUGAUGGUCUUUACUGUGUUCCAUGGUAUAUUUAAUUCCUUAGAAAUUCUUUUGUAGCCCUCAACUGACUGAUAUCUUUGAAUAAUGAGAUCCCUCUGAUGAUUUGGAAGCUCUCUGCGGACCAUGGCUUGUGCUGGUAGAUGUGUCUACAGAAAUGUCAGGAAGAGCCUACUAGAACAGCUGAACUUUAUUUGGGGUUGAUCAGAAGCACUUUAAUUGGUGACAGGUGUGUGUUGACUCCAAUUUAACCUGAGUUUGAAUGUUAUUGGUUAAAUCUGAACACAGCCACAAUCCCAGUUAUAAAAGGGUGUGCACACUUAUGCAACGACAUGAUCUCAGUUGUUUAUUUUUACUUCACCUCCCUGAAAGAUUUCUGUUUGUUUUUCAAUUGUGUUGUACAGGUUAUAUGUCACAUUUAAGGUGGAAGAAGUUGUGAAAUUAUUUAUCCUGAUGUAACUUUUUACAUGACAAAAACCUGGCAGUUGAACAGGGGUGUGUAGACUUUUUAUGUCCACUGUAUUCUGACAAUGUGGUCCAUGUAGGCUAAAACAACAGAGUGGCUACAAAACUUUUUUCAGCUGUUUACUCAAAUUUUAGAGUCAAGUCUAAUUAUGUUAAGUUUAUAUUAUGCCAAGCUGUUGCCUUUGCAUCGUAAUUAUUAUUAUUGUUAUUAUUAUAAGUAUUAUUAUUGUUAUUAUUAUUAUUAUUUUUAUUUUUUUGGUAAUUCAGUUGUUUUGCUUUCAGAGAGAUUUACCCUAGUGAGACUUAAAUUGUGUCCUGGUACAAGGCUUUAGUCCAGAUAAUUAACCCACACAUCAGGUUGAGUAGUUUCACGAGAAAAAAAUCAAUAUUGAUAUUAAAAGUUUGAGUCCACUGAACCUGAAAGCUGUCCUUGCCUCAGCUCUUUUGUUUUAAUGUCUAAUUGCACAAUGUUUAUCGGUGCUUCUUAGUUUCAUAAACCUAACAACAUCAUCGGAGAAGCGUGUGUUUGGAUCAGUUAAUUUGAUUACAUUAGUCCAGGUUCAAUAGGCAGUGUGCCUCAUUGAGCUUGUUUUUCUAACUGCCUGGAUGAAUUAACCCUGUGUUUAUUCUGAAACCCAACAAUUACAACAGUCUCUAGAGAGAGAGAGCGAUGGGUUUUAUUUUUCAGUCUAUGGUUUCUGAUGGAAAAAUAUAAUUGCUCAUGCUGGCUACUUUGAAGGAAAGAUUUAUGUGAAAAAGAACAAGAACAUGCAAAUUUAUGUUGUUGUUAGACUGAGAAGAUCUUGGUGACUUUCCCCAUAUAAGUUUAGAUAGUUUUGCUAUAAAUUUAUGAUAGAUCUUAUUCCCACAAGAGAAACUCAAAUACAAUUGGAAAAGACUAACAUUUGUAGAAGCAAAUUGAUUAUUUCAUGGAUGACUCCUUUAAAAGUCUACGUUUUUGUUUACGUUAUUGUCUGCUUUAACAUCAUGUUAACCAGUCAACAGGAGGAUAUGUGAAAGCCUUUGCUGGGGCCUAUUCUACGAAGCAGGAUUACCGCUUAGCGAGGUAACUUCUAGAGUAAGCUCGGGGUUUCCUGUUCUACGACACGGGUUCUCUUGGCGAGGUGAGUCUCCAUGGCAACAUACGCUGAAUGGCUAACCUGCUACGGGGCAGGUUAGGUUCCAGAUUGAACUCACUGAGUAUAAAAACCCCGCCCACUGACCAAUGAGCUCUCUCGAAAAAUGGCUUGUCCGUUCUUGGAGGAUCCUAUAGACCUCGGUGCUCGCAUUGUCCGAAGAGCACUCCGGCAUGCGAGAGUUUUCAGGGACCGCACGGACCCACCUACUUUUCCGGAUGACCACCUUUAUGAAAGGCUCAUAUGGCCUACAUAUCACACAAAAAAUGUAAACACGAUAGGAAUGAACAAAUUAAUUAAUUAAUCUUGGAAAUGAAUACGUCAUGUCUGGUGCAUGUUAAAAGCGCAUGUUGAACAGUGCUAUUUCAGGGUGAUAAUGGCAUCAAAGAUUAUUUGUGCACUAUAUUUACGCAUUGAGACCGUCUGCAAUUUUCUGCCAGUAUUCCUUCCAUGCUUUUGCAGUGGCGACGGUGUUGCUUUUGAGUUUUAUUAUAGAUUUGAAUUCUUCAUACUUUCUCAUGAUCGUCUCCUGCUCCUCGUUUGUAAAGUGCAAU